GUGCCAGUAGCUCAGUUGGAUAGAGCAACUGCCUUCUAAGCAGUGGGUCGGGGGUUCGACUCCCUCCUGGCGCA
RNAcentral lists this transfer RNA (74 nucleotides) under Leptospiraceae bacterium. RNAcentral describes it as "tRNA-Arg". It matches the Rfam family "tRNA". From Rfam's summary of the family: Transfer RNA (tRNA) molecules are approximately 80 nucleotides in length. Their secondary structure includes four short double-helical elements and three loops (D, anti-codon, and T loops). The record is from RNAcentral. Lineage: Bacteria; Pseudomonadati; Spirochaetota; Leptospiria; Leptospirales; Leptospiraceae.